RNAcentral lists this unclassified non-coding RNA (250 nucleotides) under plant metagenome. Its description in RNAcentral is "partial contains small subunit ribosomal RNA, internal transcribed spacer 1, and 5.8S ribosomal RNA". The stretch from base 165 to 250 matches the Rfam family "5.8S ribosomal RNA", at positions 1 to 72 of the family's 154-position model. The record is from RNAcentral.
GUAGGUGAACCUGCGGAAGGAUCAUUCAUAAUAAGUGUUCUACUGCACUUUUUAAAAAUAGUACUCACCUUGUGUGCAAUGUUGUGUGAAUUUCACACCUACACCAACCUUCAAUUUGAACCACUUUGUCUGAAAAACUAUUAUGAAUACUUAAUUCAAAAUACAACUUUCAACAACGGAUCUCUUGGCUCUCGCAUCGAUGAAGAACGCAGCAUCUGACUGACUUCAGGUUGCGGAAUCUCGUAUGCCG